GAUGAAGAACGCAGCGAACUGCGAUAAGUAGUGUGAAUUGCAGAAUUCAGUGAAUCAUCGAAUCUUUGAACGCACAUUGCGCCCCUUGGUAUUCCAUGGGGCAUGCCUGUUCGAGCGUCAUUUGUACCUUCAAGCUCUGCUUGGUGUUGGGUGUUUUGUCUCGCCUCCGCGUGUAGACUCGCCUUAAAACAAUUGGCAGCCGGCGUAUUGAUUUCGGAGCGCAGUACAUCUCGCGCUUUGCACUCAUAACGACGACGUCCAAAAGUACAUUUUUACACUCUUGACCUCGGAUCAGGUAGGGAUACCCGCUGAACUUAAGCAUAUCAAUAAGCGGAGGA
This 338-nucleotide unclassified non-coding RNA is filed under the name soil metagenome. RNAcentral describes it as "partial contains 5.8S ribosomal RNA, internal transcribed spacer 2, and large subunit ribosomal RNA". The stretch from base 1 to 120 matches the Rfam family "5.8S ribosomal RNA", at positions 35 to 154 of the family's 154-position model. The record is from RNAcentral.